UUAUACAAAGUAAAAGACUGCAACACCCUGUUUUCCAAACAAUUCAUUUGUAUAUAAUGCCUAAAUUCCAUAUUCUUUAAGAUUCAAUUCCCAAUCCGCCGGCCAUCCACACCCAACUGUCCAUUGUUCGUCGACGCCGAACGUUUUGAAGAAAAUGAGCUGCGCUUGGGGCUAUCGGGAGGUGGUCGGCGGUCGUGGUGGCAAAAGUGAGAUAGCCAAGAGCAGUGGGAGGAGAGGCCUUUCGGAGACGGAGGUUGACUUGAAGUUUCAUUUGUUAACGAAAGAGUCAUCGUAGUCGAUUGUGAUUGAUGUUGAUGUUGUGGAGAAGAUAAAGGAGAAGACUAAUCUUUCAAAGCCACCGGCGAAGAGGAUAAUGCAUAACUGGAGCAGGCUUUUGCUAUGUCCAUGAAUAUUUUUGGAUACGAUGUUUCUGUGGUUGACGCUGAUAUGCCAGAUGCAACUAAUGAAGACUAGGAGUUGGCAUUGGUGAACUGGGGCAUUUAAAGCAGCAUCUUGAUUGGCAACUGCCACUCCUGCUUAUGCAUUGUGCCAUGGUUUGGUUGGCAAGUUGCAAGGGUUAGUUCACUUCUAGGUGCUUCAAUCGCAUGAAACAAUGAAAGUGGAAUUUGACCAUGGUGAAUCAUAUGUAUGAAUUGUUAGUUCAGAUAGAAGGUGGGUUGUAGUUUUUAUACUCUAAUAUUAUGGUAAAUGUUAUUUGCUUCUUUUUUUUUUUUUUGGUGACAUGUGAACACAUAGUGGUCUGUUAAUUUAUAUUCUAAUAUUUGGUUAAAUAAUAAAUUAAUUGAUUAUUUUCCUUUUUGUGUAAGAAUGGUGAUCAGUGAUGGUAGAAAAAAGAGUGGACAUUUAACUUCAGGAUUGUUAAGGAGGCAUGUGAUUUAGAGGUCUUUUGAAGAUGUUUUUCAUCAAAUUAACAUCAUCUGAGACUCCCUAAAUAUGGUAGCGAAGCACCUUCUUCUCCUUUGCAUAAGCAAAUUUAGCUCUGAUUGCCUCAACAUUAUAAAAACCAAUCCAAAUUGUUCCUUUUGUCCAGUAAUUCACCACAUAAGUUGAGUUGUACUUGACAUGAACAUCAGGACCAUAUUGCUCAAUAUAAUUCUUGAUUUCCCUACAUGUUACUGCUCCAUUUGGCAAUCUAAUGGCAGGUCCCUUUGCUGCUGCACAAAUACCAUUCUCCAUAGGGUUCUUUAGUGGCCAUGUAUAGCCAAAUAGAGUCAAACUCAAAACCAUUUUAUUAGCUGAUAAUCCUCCAUUAAUCCAUUCUCUUAUACAGAGCUGCACGGACACAUGUAAAGUUAUCAAAUAGAGGUUGAAUAUAAACCUGAGCCAAUUCAAGUGUUGUUGUAUGCUCUCUACAGAGUAAUGGGCCCGGAAGGCAGCGUUGGUGUAUGUUUAACUCUUGCUGUCAAGAGGAGUUGGGACUAAUUAGAGACUGCCGCCUCUAAAAUGAUAGCAGCUCUCCACUCUUGAAACAGAACUCCUAUAUUGAACACCUCAGAGCCUGAAAAUGGAUAAUGCCAAUCAAAGUCAAGGCCAUGAAACGUAAAGUCUGGCUAAUCCUAUCGAGGAAUCAAUUAAGGAUAUUCGUUGCAAAAAGUCACUUACCAUAAAAGAAGUUGCUGAUUUAUUUGCAUCUUUACCCCCAAUAGAUAGCAGUGUAGUGAGUGAUGACAGUGUGUGUGAAUGUGGAGAAAAUUUCUGCAUCAGUCGGUGAUACUAAGAGCUGGUAGGAGCAUAGCCACAGAUAAGGUGAGUGAAGAGAGAAGAAUUAAUCGCCGAAAUGGGAAGUUCAUUGUCUGUUGAAUGCAAAUAAUAACCAGCCCUGAUCCAAUUAGUUGCGCCAUAGAAGAUUAGAAGAAAAUACAGAAAACAAUGGUGAUAAUCUUGGACUUCAUUUGAAGGUGCUUAAAUUGCGCCACUUGUUAUCUAUCAGGGUCUUUGCUUACCUCA
This is a long non-coding RNA of Mangifera indica (mango), 1968 nucleotides long. RefSeq lists it as uncharacterized. The transcript is spliced from 5 exons. Lineage: Eukaryota; Viridiplantae; Streptophyta; Magnoliopsida; Sapindales; Anacardiaceae. The record is from RefSeq and is a predicted model, not a curated record.